GACGAACGCUGGCGGCGUGCUUAACACAUGCAAGUCGAACGGAAAGGCCCUGCUUUUGUGGGGUGCUCGAGUGGCGAACGGGUGAGUAACACGUGAGUAACCUGCCCUUGACUUUGGGAUAACUUCAGGAAACUGGGGCUAAUACCGGAUAGGAGCUCCUGCUGCAUGGUGGGGGUUGGAAAGUUUCGGCGGUUGGGGAUGGACUCGCGGCUUAUCAGCUUGUUGGUGGGGUAGUGGCUUACCAAGGCUUUGACGGAUAGCCGGCCUGAGAGGGUGACCGGCCACAUUGGGACUGAGGUACGGCCCAGACGCGUACGGGAGGCAGCGGUGGGGAAUAUUGCACAAUGGGCGGAAGCCUGAUGCAGCGACGCCGCGUGCGGGAUGACGGCCUUCGGGUUGUAAACCGCUUUAGCCUGUGACGAAGCGUGAGUGACGGUAAUGAGUAAAGAAGCACCGGCUAACUACGUG
This 468-nucleotide ribosomal RNA is filed under the name uncultured bacterium. RNAcentral's name for it is "partial 16S ribosomal RNA". It matches the Rfam family "Bacterial small subunit ribosomal RNA", at positions 28 to 507 of the family's 1533-position model. The record is from RNAcentral.